Molecule: long non-coding RNA, 4909 nt
Filed under: Sus scrofa (pig)
Lineage: Eukaryota; Metazoa; Chordata; Mammalia; Artiodactyla; Suidae
Description: lncRNA (ENSSSCG00000059957.1)
Source: RNAcentral
AGUUGAAUCAGAGCUGCAGCUGUUGGCCUAUACCACAGCCAUAGCAAUGUGGGAUCCAAGUUGUGUCUGUGACCUACACCACAGCUCAUGGAAAUGCCAGAUCCUUAACCCACUGAGUGAGGCAGGGAUCAAACCCUCAUCUUCAUGUAUCCUAGUUGGAUUAGUUUCUGCUGUGCCACAACCGGAACUCCUGCUGUCUUUAUGAUUUUAUUUUUCAAAGUAAUAUACUUUGAUUUUUUAAACUUUUACAAUUUUUUAAUUUGAUUUACAAUUUUGUGUCAAUUUCUGCUGUACAGCAAAGUGACCCAGUCAUAAUUUUAUAUACAUUUUCUCAUAACAUCUUCUAUCAUGUUCUAUCAUAAGAGAUUAGAUAUAGAACUUUGAUUACCUUUAAUCACCUUUUUAUUAUCCAAUGCAGGUUUUUUCUCUGUUUUUUAUUAUUCAAAUGAAUUUAUCACAUCUGUAGUUGUAUAAUGAUCAUAACAAUCUAAUUUCACAGGAUUUCCAUCCCAUAACCCAAGCACAUCCCCCCACCCUCCAAACUGUCUCCUCUGGAGACUCAAUGUCUGUGAGUCAGCAUCUGUUCUGCAAAGAAGUUCAGUCUGUCCUUUUUUCAGAUUCCACAUGUCAGUGAAAGCAUUUGAUGUCGGUGUCUCAUUGUAUGGCUGACUUCACUUAGCAUGAUAAUUCCAUCAUGUUCUAUCAUAAGAGAUUAGAUAUGGAACUUUGAUUUUUUUUUGUCUUUUUUUUGCUAUUUCUUGGGCCGCUCCGGUGGCAUAUGGAGGUUCCCAGGCUAGGGGUCUAAUCGGAGCUGCAGCCACCGGCCUACGCCAGAGCCACAGCAACACUGGAUCCGAGCUGCAUCUGCAACCUAAACCACAGCUCACGGCAACACUGGAUCCUUAACCCACUGAGCAGGGCAGGGACUGAACCCGCAACCUCAUGGUUCCUAGUCAGAUUCGUUAACCACUGCACCACGAUGGGAACUCCAGAAUUUUGAUUAUCUUUAAUCACCUUUUUAAUAUCUAGUGCAGGUUUUUUCUUUGUGGUUGACGUGAGAAUUGAACAGAAUUUCUUAUUGUUAUAAUAGAGUAUUUUAAGUUAAUAAGAACUUAACUUUAAUCACACACAGUCUCUCUACACAUAUACUCCUCCCCUUUUCCCCCUUUAUACCAUUAAUGUCAGUAUUUUUUUUUUUUUCUGCACUCACAGCACAUUGAAAUUCCUGGGCCAGGGAUCAAAUCUGAGUUGGAGCCAUGACCUACUUCAUAGGUGCAGCAAUGUCGGAUCCUUAACCUACUGCAUUGGUCUGGGGAUCAAACUGGCACCUCCACAAAGAUAAGCUGGAUCAUUAACCCACUCUACAGAGGGGAAUCCUACUUCUUUUUAUAUUGUGCAUCUAUUAAUAAAUACUUGCAGUUACAGCUAUUUUAUUUAUUUAUUUACUUACUUAUUCUCUUUUUAGGGCCGUACCUGCAGCAUAUGAAGGUUCCCAGGCUAGGGGUCAAAUCAGAGCUGUACCUGCUGGCCUACACCACAGUCAUGGCAACACAGGAUCUGAGCCGUGUCUGCAGCUUACACCAGAGCUCACAGCAACGCCAGAUCCUUAACCCACUGAGCAAGGCCAGGGAUUGAACCUGCGUCCUCAUGGAUGCUGGUCAGAUUCAUUUCUGCUGAGGUACGAUUGGAACUCCAGUUAUAGUUAUUUUAAAUGCUUUUGUCUUUUAACUUUUACACCAGGCUUAAAAGUGUUCUAUGCACAAUAAUUAUAGUAUUACAUUAUUCUGUACUUGCCUAUAUAUUUACUAUUAUCAGGAAGAGUUAUACUUUUAUAUGCUUUUGUGUUGUUGUUCAGUAUCCUUUCAUUUCAAGUAGAAGAACUCCUUUUAGCACCUCUUGUAAAACAUGUCUUGUGGUAAGAAUUCUCUCUCUCUCUUUUUUUUUUUGGUCUGGAAAUUUUUAUCUUUCCUUGACUUUUAAAAGACAUUUUUGUAUAGUAUUUCUGGUUCAUAGUUGUUUUCUUUCAGCAUUUUGAUUAUAUCAUCCCACUCUUUCCUGGACUGCAAGGUUUAUACUGAGAAAUCUGCUGAUAGAUUUAUGGGGAUCUCCUUGUAUGUAAUGAGUCACUUUUCUCUUGCUGCUUUAAAAAUUCUAUCUCUGACUUCUGACAAUUACAGGCAUACCUUGGAGAUAUUGUUAGUUUCAUUUCACGACAAUAAAGUAAAUACUGCAAUAAAUAUAUUUACACUAUACUGUAUCUAUUAAGUGUACAAUAGCAGUGUGUCUAAAAAAUGUACGUACCUUAAUUUAAAAAUACUUUAUUGCUGAAAAAUGCUAACCAUCAUCUGAGCCUUCAGCAAGUGGUAAUCUUUUUGCGGUAGUAACAUCACAGAUCACUGAUCCCCAUAACAAAUAUUAAAAAAAAAAAAAAGAAAUACUGUGACAAUGACCAAAAUGUGACACAAAGACACAAAGUGAGCAAAUGCUAUUGGAAAAUGGCACAGGUAGACUUGCUCUAUGCAGGGUUUUCACAAAACUUCAAUUUGUUAAAAAAAAAUGCAAUGUUGGUGAAACACAAUGAAGUGAAGCACAAUAACACAAGCUAUGCCUGUAAUUAUAAUGUGUAUCAGUGUAGGUCUCUUUAUGUUCAACUUGUUUGCAUCCUUUGGCUUUCAUGAAUCUGGAUGUCCAUUUUCCUCCUUAGACUCUGGAAGUUUUCAGUCGUUAUUUCUUUUAGUAAGCUUCCUGCCUCUUUGUCUUUCUAGGAUUUUUGUGAUACAUGUAUUGAUACGAGGGCUGGGAUCUCAUAUUACACCAUCUUGAUGUCACUUCUCAUUAAUGAUUCUUUAUAUUGGAGUUCCCAUUGUGGAGUAGCGGAAAUGAAUCCAAAUAAUAUCCAUGAGGAUGUGGGUUCGAUCCCUGGCCUCGCUCAGUGGUUAAGGAUCUGGCAUCACCAUGAGCUGUGGUGUAAAUCACAGACAUGGCUCCGAUCUGGUGUUGCUGUGGCUGUGGCAUAGGCCCACAGCUGCAGCUCCAAUUCGACCCCUAGCAUGAGAGCUUUCAUAUGCCAUGGGUGUAGCCCUAAAAACAAAGAAAUAAAAAUUCUUUAUAUCAAAUUCUAUGUUCUUUUUCUUUCCUGAAGUGACUCAGACUAAUAUGCUUCCCAAGCCAUUUCUCUCUCUUUAUUCUUUUCCUUUAAGUUGAGACCUUGUCCUAAGUAUUUGCUAUAUUCCCCAGUAGAAAUAAUUAAGUCACAGCACCCAUUAGUCUCUUCUGAAGCUUUGCAGAUUUUGCAGUUUUGGGGUACUCCUAAUUUCUUUUUUUUUUUCUGGCCAUGUCUGCGCAUGAAGAAGCUCCUGGCCCAGGGACUGAGUAGAAAUCAGAGCCCCAGCAGUGACAACACCAGAUCCUUAACUCACUGAGCCACCCAGGAACUCCCCCUCUCAAUUUCAAUAUGCUUUUCUUUUCCUUGUACUUACCACUGCUCCAGGGCAGAUAAACUCAGACUCUGGUAGUCUUUAUUACAGGAAAGGGGUCAUAGAGAAGGGGAACAUAAAGAGUGAUGAGCUCUGGCUGACUUUCUAGAGAACUUAAAUUCAAACACAACCUGCGUUCACAAAAAAAUUUUCUUCCAAAAGUCUAAAAGAGACAAAAGAUAAAGGCCUACAAGAGAAAUCCAUUUUUCUAAUACAUACUUUAAUUUAUUGGGAAGUAAUACCUUUGUUUUAUAACCUUAAAAGAAUGCUUGCCUUCUCUCAGCCCUAAUUUACAUUACAAAGCAUGCCACAUUAUUUGAUAAUAACUGGUCACAAUGAUUGCAAUCUUUUUCCUCACUGAAAAGUGUGUUUAUCUUCUAAAUUUAAAAAAUUUCAACUUUAAGGAAUAAAACAAAUUACUAACAAAAAACAUUUAGAAAUGAUUAGAAUUUAUUUCUAAAAUUGCUUCCCCUUUCCAUACUAACUUUUCAGUUGGUUGAAGUUAUUUUUACAUUCUUUUAACCCACAAGGCAGCUGCUUUUUGACCAUGUCCCUUAUUCUGUUCAUUACUUCUGAGUGUUUUGCACUGAUUCCAAAACACCAAAUGUAAUUGAACAUCUUUAAGAAUACAAUAAAUUAAUUUACUGCAGGACAAAAACACUGUAUUUUUCAUAGCCUUAUUUUUUUUAAGGGCCUCACUUGCGGCAUAUGGAAGUUCCCAGGCUAGGGGUUGAAUAGGAGCUGUAGCUGUCAGCCUACACCACAGUCAUAGCAAAGCCAGAUUCCAUCUGCGUGUGCAACCUGCACCAUAGCCCACAGAAACGCCAGAUCCUUAACCCACUGAGCAAGGCCAGGGAAUGAACCAGAGUCCUCAUGGAUACUAGUUGGGUUUGUUACCGCUGAGCCACAGCAGAAACACCUUUCACAGCCUUAUUAAACUAUAACUGACAUAGAAUGAAGUUCACAUAAAGUGUACAAUUUGAUGUGUUUUGUCAUAUGUACACACUGGUGAAAUCAUCACCAUAAUCAAGAUAAUGAACAUUUUAUUCCCAAAAGCUUCUUCAUGCCCCUUUGUAAUCCUUCUCUCCUGUACUCCCUGUCUCAUUUCUCCAGGCAAUCAUUGAUAUAUUUUUGUUGCUAUUGAUUAGUUUGUUAAUUUUAGAGUUUUAUGUAAAUAAAUAUGUACUCGUUUAUGCUUUUUUUUUUUUUUUUGGUCUUUUUGCCAUUUCUUGGGCUGCUCCCAUGGCAUAUGGAGGUUGUCAGGCUAGGGGUCGAAUCGGAGUUGUAGCCACUGGCCUACGCCAGAGCCACAGCAACGCGGGAUCCGGAUCUGAGCUGCGUCUGUGACCUACCCCAUAGCUCACGGCAACAGUGGGUCCUUAACCCACUGAACAAGGCCAGGGAUCAAACCCGCAACAUUAUGGUUCCUAGUU